RNAcentral lists this ribosomal RNA (431 nucleotides) under Salmonella enterica. RNAcentral describes it as "bacterial SSU rRNA". It matches the Rfam family "Bacterial small subunit ribosomal RNA", at positions 1 to 432 of the family's 1533-position model. Lineage: Bacteria; Pseudomonadati; Pseudomonadota; Gammaproteobacteria; Enterobacterales; Enterobacteriaceae. The record is from RNAcentral. RNAcentral also lists the same sequence under 1 other name.
UGAAGAGUUUGAUCAUGGCUCAGAUUGAACGCUGGCGGCAGGCCUAACACAUGCAAGUCGAACGGUAACAGGAAGCAGCUUGCUGCUUUGCUGACGAGUGGCGGACGGGUGAGUAAUGUCUGGGAAACUGCCUGAUGGAGGGGGAUAACUACUGGAAACGGUGGCUAAUACCGCAUAACGUCGCAAGACCAAAGAGGGGGACCUUCGGGCCUCUUGCCAUCAGAUGUGCCCAGAUGGGAUUAGCUUGUUGGUGAGGUAACGGCUCACCAAGGCGACGAUCCCUAGCUGGUCUGAGAGGAUGACCAGCCACACUGGAACUGAGACACGGUCCAGACUCCUACGGGAGGCAGCAGUGGGGAAUAUUGCACAAUGGGCGCAAGCCUGAUGCAGCCAUGCCGCGUGUAUGAAGAAGGCCUUCGGGUUGUAAAGUA